GGACUACUAGGGUAUCUAAUCCUGUUUGCUCCCCACGCUCUCGCGCUUCAGCGUCAGUCUCUGUCCAGGCGGCCGCCUUCGCCACUGGUGUUCCUUCCGAUCUCUACGCAUUUCACCGCUACACCGGAAAUUCCACCGCCCUCUACAGCACUCUAGCAGCACAGUCCCAAACGCAGUCCCUAGGUUGAGCCCAGGAAUUUCACGUCCGGCUUGUACCGCCGCCUACGCGCCCUUUACGCCCAGUAAUUCCGAUUAACGCUCGCACCCUCUGUAUUACCGCGGCUGCUGGCAC
This 292-nucleotide ribosomal RNA is filed under the name uncultured bacterium. RNAcentral describes it as "partial 16S ribosomal RNA". The record is from RNAcentral.